GGAUAGGAUCCAUUUCGAAGAGAAGUGGGAAGGGGCCAAUGAUAGGGCUAACGAUCUAGAAUAUGAAGUGAGGUGCAAAAGGAGGAAGAUGAACAGGAUGGGCUAUGCAGUGCGCACGACCAUGGGGAGACUAAUUGAUGGGGUAAAUCACUACCCGACAGAGCAGGGACAGACUCGGCACACCAUAAGCCGAGAUUUGGUGGUGCACAUUACUCAGAGGGAGUACCAGAGCGCUGUGGAGCGCGGGAUGAUGGAUUAAGUCUAGGCGUUAAAAGUAUUAGUUGUAGUUCGUUAUGUGGUGUAUUAUCUGUUGUUGUAAUUUCAGUCUUUUAUGUAGAAUGUGAGAUAGUUGUAAGCCCCAAACUUUUGAGUUAUAUUAGAGGGGUA
This 387-nucleotide long non-coding RNA is filed under the name Panax ginseng (ginseng). RNAcentral describes it as "long non-coding RNA (PGIN_LNC002852)". The record is from RNAcentral. Lineage: Eukaryota; Viridiplantae; Streptophyta; Magnoliopsida; Apiales; Araliaceae.